RNAcentral lists this ribosomal RNA (468 nucleotides) under uncultured bacterium. Its description in RNAcentral is "partial 16S ribosomal RNA". It matches the Rfam family "Bacterial small subunit ribosomal RNA", at positions 28 to 507 of the family's 1533-position model. The record is from RNAcentral.
GACGAACGCUGGCGGCGUGCUUAACACAUGCAAGUCGAACGGAAAGGCCCUGCUUUUGUGGGGUGCUCGAGUGGCGAACGGGUGAGUAACACGUGAGUAACCUGCCCUUGACUUUGGGAUAACUUCAGGAAACUGGGGCUAAUACCGGAUAGGAGCUCCUGCUGCAUGGUGGGGGUUGGAAAGUUUCGGCGGUUGGGGAUGGACUCGCGGCUUAUCAGCUUGUUGGUGGGGUAGUGGCUUACCAAGGCUUUGACGGGUAGCCGGCCUGAGAGGGUGACCGGCCACAUUGGGACUGAGAUACGGCCCAGACUCCUACGGGAGGCAGCAGUGGGGAAUAUUGCACAAUGGGCGGAAGCCUGAUGCAGCAACGCCGCGUGCGGUAUGACGGCCUUCGGGUUGUAAACCGCUUUCGCCUGUGACGAAGCGUGAGUGACGGUAAUGGGUAAAGAAGCACCGGCUAACUACGUG